Molecule: small RNA, 4872 nt
Filed under: Rattus norvegicus (Norway rat)
Lineage: Eukaryota; Metazoa; Chordata; Mammalia; Rodentia; Muridae
Description: uncharacterized LOC102547513
Source: RNAcentral
UCUUUCUCCUCUUCUCCUCUUCUUCUCUCAUUAAACCUCUCCACGUGGAACCAUGUUGGCUUGGUGUGCUCUGUCUGGACUCGAGCUGAGUUUUAAACCCCAACAUUUUCCACAUUUGUUGUGGUUGUUGUUUUGUUUUGUUUUGUUUUGUUUUUUGCGCCUUCAAGUCUUCAAGGUCUGGGUGGGUAUCACACACAGACUGUGAUUCUGAUGAUGAAUUCCACAGGUCAAGUGUGUGUGACAUGGUGUAGUUCCCUUUAUAGGUGUUGAAGGGUGUCAGAGCAAAGUUAUUACAAGCAUGUCCCAGAGAGUGAACUUGUGCUAUGGGAGGUUUGUUCUGAUUUAAAGUUCUUGGCUGGAUGUUGAAGUUCUUGGCAUGCACCUAUAAUACUAGCCCAGGAGCCAGAGGCAGGAAGGUGAGGAAGUUCAACGUGAAGGAGGACUAAUCCGAGAGCUAUUGCCCAGCCCCGACCCCCCCCCAACAAAGAUGCUUUUUAUAAAGUAAUUUUUUCCCCUAAAACGUUUUCAAGUCCUGUCUUACAUGUAUUCAUUAAAUACGGGGCACACUUGUCACACCGUGCGUGUGGAGGUCAGAAGACAGCUUGUGUGAGGUUUGACCAUGGGGUUCUGGGGACCGAAGUCAGCUCAUCGGCCUUGACAGCAAAUGGCUUACUCCCUAGUCAUCUCACGGCCCCACCCCCGGUUGUCUUUAAGUAGUAGCAAGCAGGGGCUCCCUACAGCAACCAAAAUAUCCUGACUUAGGUUAAUAAUUUAUUGCCUCCCACAGUGGAAACAUAAACAAGACAAGCUUCUAGUCCUAGUUGGGACUGCUCUGGCCUUCGGGUCAUUCACCCACGUGUGGGUGAGCGUACAUGUAGUCCUGUGCUCUCCUCUCUGGAUACUGCCCUCAACAACAGAAUAUCCUGGGGACAGCCAAGUGCACAGAAGCUUCUGAGGUUGUGUGGAUGAGAAUGCUUCCUGUAUGGUGGCAUUAGCCCUGGGCCCUGAAGAGCAGCCAGGAGCCCUGGAGAAAGCAGAGUGGAAGUGUGCCACAGUGGGUAGAGAAGCCUAUAGCUGCCAGAAAGCAGGGAGACCUGUGGAGGUUAGAACCAGCCCCCAGCAGGCCGCAGGCCUGGAGGAAACCAUGCUACUAUGGAGACCGUUGUCAAGCAGUGCUGUCCGGACUGAAAUACGACACUCACCACAUAGGCGGCAUUUUCUAGCAGCCGUGUUUAUAAAGGUCAAAACGCGCACAGGUGCGAUUUAUUUUUAGAUCACAUUUUACUGAACACACUUCCUCUGGAAUAUUAUUGCUUGAACAGGUGAGAGGGCUCACAUUUUUUUUUCUGAAGGAACUCUUCGAAAUCCACCCCACGGCUGGCACAGUUGUCCAGCUCCGCUUGGUGCAGCUGUGAUUCAACCGUUCUGAGUCACGUGGGUUCGAGGCUGCCACGUCUGACUGCACAAGCCCAUAUGUGGGUGUACGUCAUGAAUAGUAACCUCUGCUCCAGCUCUGGGUCCAAAGGAGAGGUCAGGCCAACGGAAAGGGAAGGGGCUAAAGAUCAACAAAAGAGGCGAAGCCUCCCACCUCUUCUGAGGGACUGCAGAUUGGGCAACCAGGUCCUCUAACCAGGGCAAGGCAGGAGACAGAGACAGCAGUCCCCUUCCCCCAUGGUACCAAGGGUGUCCGUGUGAAUAGUGUAACCAAGAAACAGAGCCCUGAGGAACAUUUGCUAAAUUCUGCCAAGUGCCUGGACACCAGAUCACAAGGCUGACCCAGAAAAGAGCAAUUGUACCUGCAGGGGAGGCAGGGCAGGCAAGGCCACCCCGGGUCAGCAGGCGCCUCCCACACUGCCAGAGAGGCGUGCCGGUGGCCGGCCUAAUGUGGAAAUGUUUGAAUGUGGGGCAGCGAGGCGCUUGGGCCGGUGGAGUCAGCCAGGGUGACAGGAACCAGUCACACUGGGGCGGGACGGUGGAAAAUGCUUGCCAAGACCCCGGCAACAUCUUUCCUAAUAAGUCUGGCAGACUUCAGGCUUCAGUCCCCCUCUGAACGACCUCUCCCUUCCACUCCGGUCUUCUCCAAGGAGGAAGGAGAGAGAGCCAAACAGAGCUGGAAUUUGGACUCAGGCCUGACUUUUCCCCUCGCCGGGGCUCUGCGGCUACUCCACCGCAGAGCCGAUGAAGGCCUUUUUCCACAAUGCCCCUCCGGACGCUUGACUGUGCUGGCCACACACUCCAUCUGCAACCUGGGCUCAACUGUUGCAGCCCUGUACCAGGAGAGACCCUAUGGAAGCACCCCUCCCCCCUCCCCUCCCCUUCCUCCUUCAGCUCCCUGCAGUGGGAGCCUGGAGCCACCCUGCUGGCUGUGUAUCCUGGCUGCUGGGCCUGCUGGCUCAGGAGAGGUUUCCUAAGUCGGAUGUCCCAGCCCCACGCAAAGGACAGGCACAAUGACAACAUGUGUGUUUGGGUCGGGACACUUUGAACUAUGAUUCCCAGAAAGAACAGCUUGUACAACCACUCCGAGUCUCCCAGCAACAAAGAAUGUACCGUAGAUUAGGCCUGGCUUGCAAAACAUUUUUUUUUAAAGAGACACAGCCCAGUCCUUUUAUGGGGUCCUGGAAAAACGGUGGGUGACUGAGUUAAAAAGCACAGAACACCCGCUGUCAACACUCCGUGACCUUCCUUGGCUCAUCAGUUCUCCUAAGGACAAGAACUUUCCGGACUGUGUUUUCUGGUUCUCAUCCUGGCUAUCCGGGUGUUGUUGCCCGACACCUUUGGUAAAGGAAAGGCAAUGCCCAGGUCACCUUCGCUGGAAGCAGCCUCAGCACCCAGACGUUCUCUUCAAGGGGGUCUCUUAUUCCAAGGCCUUUGUGGAUCCAAAGAAACACCUUUUUUCCUCAGAGGCUAGACAUUUCCUUUUAUCCCUCGACUGAUUCUUCAUUUCAGCCAUGUUAGGAAGGCUUCCUUGUCUCAGUUGGAGACUAGGAGCCGCUUCAAAGACAAACAGCUAAAGAACAAAAGCAGGAGAUGGGCCAGCUGGGUGUGCGAGAGUCCACUCACAGGGGGGGGGGUUGUUAAUUUGAUGGGGGCAAUGUUAAUGCAUUGUUUGUUCUUAUUUGGGUUUCACUGCUGAAGGUUUGAAAGCCAGCCUCUUGAAUGCAUUUGCAUGUGGGAACAUCUCAGAGCAGACCUCUGGUUUCACCAACCUCCCAGAACUGUGUAUUUUGACUUGUGUGGCACUCCUUAAGAUACUCUGCACCCUUCUAGCUCAAAGGAAGCCUGCAUAACUGUUUCCCAAGUCCUGCUGGCUCAGCCUAGCUCCAAUCUUCUUGAAGCUCAGUGCUGUCUGGGGAAGGAGUUCUGGCUAAUGGAGGGUGUCUGGCCAAGAUGCAUCCCAUUGAUGACCUACUGAGCUUCCUGGACAAAUCUUCAAUGUCCCUGCUGGGUAUGAGCACCCGGGACAAUCUUAGAAGGCACAUACAGAAGAUGCUUCCGGAACCUCCAUCAGCCUGGAUCCCAAGGGAUGAAUAGAGCCCCUCCUUCAGUGCCAGGCCACAAACACAGCAGCAUUGACAAGACAACAGCGUUUGCUGCCAUGGUAAUGAAUACUUCUGACACAGGCCAGGGAUCUGAUUCUGAGCAGAAGCUCAACUACUUACAAAAAGUCAACCGCAGAACAGACCCAGUGGCUAUUAAAUGUCACAAAAAUGUGUAGCAACUGGCAUGACCUUAACAGUCAGUCAGGAGAAUAUAUCUUCUUCAAGCCGAGAUCACGAAAGCUCGUGAUUGCCCACACACUCAGUAAAAUGAAACCGGAGGCACAGAGGUAACCCCCCCAACCCCAGGUUCUACCUUAUUAGUAGCCUGGGAUGAGAUCAGCUUCUGAAGUCCUCUUCCCGGAUACUAGAGGUUGGGGGUGACAGUUAAUACCGUCUUGAGGCUGUGGCCCACUGAUUGGUCUCAGCGGCUUAUACUGAGCACUCCGAAACCAAGUCAGCUUAGCUGGGAGGAGCAUCAGGACCAAUGAUCUUCUCUGUCAAGUGCACGGGUGUUGGGGGAGGGGGCCCUCCCUGAACUUAGCCCAGCAUGUUCCAGCAUGUGUUUAGCACGUGUGGAAAACGUCUCUCAGCCUCUCUUGGGAUGCUGGCUGGUCAUCCAGUCUCCUCCGUCUCUUUACUGGCAAGGUCGAGCUAAACUCUCCAGGUGAGAACCCUGAAAAUCUGCAGAUUCUGCCAUUUUUUUUUUCAUGAUCCGCCUUCGGGGAUCAUCCAGGAGGGUGCAGAGUGACAGAGAGUAUGAGGUCUGAUGAUCAUACCCCCUGGGACUGGUGGCUAGCAUAAGCCACCUGGCUUUAGCGUCUUGUGUGCAAAGUGGGUGUCACAAUAACACCUUAUUCACAGGGAGGGCAGGGAGACUGGACCCAAUAAGGCUGGACACAGUGAGCACUGGUAUGUGUCUGUCUGCGGGAAUGUGAUAAUAUGACCUGUGGGAAUUCAGAGGACAACAUCAGGUGCCAACCAAAACUUUUUUGACGCAGGAUCUUUUGUCUACCAUGCAUAGGUCAGGCUAACUGUCUUGUUGAGUUUCUGGAGCUUUCUGGACAGAUCUCUACUUCCACCUCGCACUAGGACCUCUGGUUUUGCAGAAGGGUGUGCCGCUGUGUCCCGAUAUAUGUGCCUCUGGGGAUACAAAUUUGAGUCCUCAGGCUUCCGUGGAAAGCACCUACCAAAACUAACCGAUGAGCGGCACUCCUCUGUGGCCUCUGCUUCAGAUCCCCUCCUCCAGUUUCCCUGUCCUGAGUUCCUUUCCUGACCUUUCUCAGUGAUGGGUUGUGAUGUGGAAGUGGAAGCGUAAUAAACCCUUUAUUCCCUA